This 772-nucleotide ribosomal RNA is filed under the name uncultured prokaryote. Its description in RNAcentral is "bacterial SSU rRNA". It matches the Rfam family "Bacterial small subunit ribosomal RNA", at positions 28 to 818 of the family's 1533-position model. The record is from RNAcentral.
GAUGAACGCUGACAGAAUGCUUAACACAUGCAAGUCGAUUCAAGUUACCUUUGGGUAAUGAGGAUGGCGGACGGGUGAGUAACGCGUAAGGAACUUGCCUCUUGGUCUGGGACAACUGUUGGAAACGACAGCUAAUACCGGAUAUUAUGAGAUUCUCGCAUGGGAAACUUAUGAAAGCUAUAUGCGCCAAGAGAGAGCCUUGCGUUCCAUUAGCUAGUUGGUGGGGUAACGGCCCACCAAGGCGACGAUGGAUAGCCGGCCUGAGAGGGUGAACGGCCACAAGGGGACUGAGACACGGCCCUUACUCCUACGGGAGGCAGCAGUGGGGAAUAUUGGACAAUGGGCCACAAGCCUGAUCCAGCAAUUCUGUGUGCACGAUGAAGGUCUUCGGAUUGUAAAGUGCUUUCAGUUGGGAAGAAGAAAGUGACGGUACCAACAGAAGAAGCGACGGCUAAAUACGUGCCAGCAGCCGCGGUAAUACGUAUGUCGCAAGCGUUAUCCGGAUUUAUUGGGCGUAAAGCGCGUCUAGGCGGAAAAAUAAGUCUGAUGUUAAAAUGCGGGGCUCAACUCCGUAUUGCGUUGGAAACUGUUUUUCUAGAGUACUGGAGAGGUGGGCGGAACUACAAGUGUAGAGGUGAAAUUCGUAGAUNUUUGUAGGAAUGCCGAUGGAGAGGUCAGCUCACUGGACANANACUGACGCUGAANCGCGAAAGCNUGGGGAGCAAACAGGAUUAGAUACCCUGGUAGUCCACGCCNUAAACGAUGAUCACUA